GGAGUUGUGGCUCAGCGGUAGAGCACUCGCCUAGCUAGUGUGAGGCCCUGGGUUCUAUCCUCAGCACCA
Molecule: transfer RNA, 69 nt
Filed under: Marmota marmota marmota (Alpine marmot)
Lineage: Eukaryota; Metazoa; Chordata; Mammalia; Rodentia; Sciuridae
Also listed under: 1 other name
Rfam family: tRNA
About the family: Transfer RNA (tRNA) molecules are approximately 80 nucleotides in length. Their secondary structure includes four short double-helical elements and three loops (D, anti-codon, and T loops). Further hydrogen bonds mediate the characteristic L-shaped molecular structure. tRNAs have two regions of fundamental functional importance: the anti-codon, which is responsible for specific mRNA codon recognition, and the 3' end, to which the tRNAs corresponding amino acid is attached (by aminoacyl-tRNA synthetases). tRNAs cope with the degeneracy of the genetic code in two manners: having more than one tRNA (with a specific anti-codon) for a particular amino acid; and 'wobble' base-pairing, i.e. permitting non-standard base-pairing at the 3rd anti-codon position.
Source: Rfam by way of RNAcentral